RNA transcript from Cucumis melo (muskmelon), 698 nucleotides. RefSeq lists it as uncharacterized. The transcript has 3 exons. The record is from RefSeq and is a predicted model, not a curated record. NCBI's taxonomy places the organism in Eukaryota, Viridiplantae, Streptophyta, Magnoliopsida, Cucurbitales, Cucurbitaceae.
AUUGCCACUGCCCGCUUCCAUUUUCUUUUCUUUCCUUUUCCCUCGUCGCGAAUUUGUCGGUUCUUCAGCCGAUUUCGCUCUCUUCCAUCGACCUCAAUUCCCUUGUCUGCUCAAACUCGAAGAACUCAAAGGCAGCUACAGCCAUUGCAGAGGAUUUCAACCCUUGAAGGUGAAGCGAAAUGUCGGGGGACAAGCGAAACAUUCUUGAUAAUUAUCGCCGACAGCUUGCUGCCAAGUUUGAGGUGAAGCGGAAUCUUUUCAAAGCCAUUUGCAAUGAUCCGAGUCUUCCCAAAGAUGUUCGUGAGGAGCAUCGUUAUAAGCUGUCGAAGUUGCCAAGAAAUAGUUCGUUCACUCGAUUGAGGAAUCGCUGCAUUUUCACCGGUCGACCUAGGGGUGUCUACCAGCUUUUCCGUAUGUCUCGUAUCGUUUUCCGUGAACUGGCGAAGAAAGGUCUUGUAAUGGGUGUCAAGAAAGCUUCUUGGUAGAUAUUGAUUGAUGGUAGAGACUUUUGUCGUUGUGGCCAGCGGAAAUUAAACAUAUGCUCUGAAAAAUGUAAUAUUAAUUUAAGUUCCUUGGACAUGAUCCAUGCCAAAGAAGAGCAAAGGCUUUACUUUUACUAUUCAAUAAGUGUUUUGUCUUAGACAGUUAAGAAUUGUGUUGUAUUUUUCUGAUAGUUACCAUUUCCUUUUCCCCUACCA